Molecule: long non-coding RNA, 1784 nt
Filed under: Gadus morhua (Atlantic cod)
Lineage: Eukaryota; Metazoa; Chordata; Actinopteri; Gadiformes; Gadidae
Description: lncRNA (ENSGMOG00000034201.1)
Source: RNAcentral
AUGACUCAGUCAACCACGGCCCUGCCCACCUCCCAUCUCAGCCCCUCCCUCCUCAUGCACGCUGGCUUCAUAAAAAGAAGCAACACAAUACAACCCACACACACACACACACACACACACACACGCGCACACGCACACGCACACGCACACGCACACACACACCCUGAGUGUGUGUGUGUGGAGGUGGAUGUGGAGGUGGAGGGAGACUGCAUCUCCACAUACUCUCACCGUCAAGGGAGUGUUCAACUUUCUCAGUCAGGACUCCAGACCCCACUAGAGCGCGUUGGCAUUGCGGUGCAAGUGAGCAGCAUGUCCGUGUACGUGGUCCGGUGGGGCGCGCUCUUGUUGUGCUGGAGCUUCUGUGUGAUUGCAGUGUCUGUGGCGGGACAGGAGCCGAACUGCGACGACUAUGACGACAACAACGAGAUCCCCCAGGACCGGGAGGAGGGGCCGUCUCCUGCUACCCCAUGCCUGGCUGCCGAUCUCCCCCGCUGGGACAAGCUUUUCAUCGCCCUGGAGGACUCCCACAUGCGGCAGAACAUGCUGCUGGACACCCUGAAGCAAUGCUGUGGGGGGGCAACCUCUCUUAGCCCCAAGCUGGAGCAGCUGGCCAAGGGGGCCUGCCAGCCUUGUCGUUCACCCGACCUGGAGUCAGCGUGCCCGGGGCAGUUAGGUCAAUCCAGCCUCAGGCUUCUGCGAGGCCUCCUGGGGGAGAUGCGGGAGGAGGAAGCGGCGUUGAGGGAAAGGAGGAUGAAUGCAACGUUACAGCAGCUCUUACAGGCCAGCCGGGAGCUGAGUACACACUUACAGAGGCUGGAGAUGAACCUCGCACAGAGCGAAGAGGCAGAUGCAGCGGCUAGACCAUCAUGAGCCGGGGCAUUGAUCAAGCAGAGGCCAGGUGGGCGGGGCUGAAGACUGCAAACAGCAGGACGUGGAGUUACCGGCACAUCGGCCAUCGAAGUGGAUAAAGUGGAGAAGGCCAUGGUCACCAGUGGGGAUACAGACACUACGUUCAGCUAAGCAAGCUCAUGGGAUAGUUUCAGGACAACCAGGGAGGAACAACAUGGAGAGUUAAUCAAAGAGAGGGUGGGAUUUAGGACCCUUGACAACACCUUGGAAAAAAAGUGCAUUUCAUAACAACUGAAGGUUUUAUUAAAAAUAUAUAUAUAUUUGCAGGAGGGCUUGGCUGUUGGGUGUGAUUUUAAGACUUAGUCUGGUGGAAAAUAACAUUGCACAUGUUUUUUAAAGAAUACAAACUCCUUAAACCAACUAAUAAGUCCGCCUGAAAGGGCUCCACCCUCCACCCACAAGGGUGUGUGUGUGUGUGUGUGUGUGUGUGUGUGUGUGUGUGUGUGUGUGUGUGUGUGUGUGUGUGUGUGUGUGUGUGUGUGUGUGUGUGUGUGUGUGUGUGUGUGUGUGUGUACAUAAAAUAACAUACAGUAGAUGUCAUCCUGAUAAAAUUGUAAUGAGAUACAAAGCAGAACAAGAGUCCAUCAGUCCUUUGGUAAAGUGUGCGUGCAAUAGCAGCUAAACCUACAGCUAACAGAACAAAUAAUCUCAGAUAUCUGUUUGAUUUGGCCCUCCUACGGAAAGUGUACCUCCUCUCUGAUGGCAAGAGUCGUAUCUCUUCCCCAAAGGGGUGUGGAGGGUCUGCCAGAAUGGCCUUUGCCCAACUUGAUAAACAUGGCCAAGAUUAGUAAAGUUGGUGCCAAUAGUCUUUUGGCAAAGUCUGACAAUCUUUCCCAGUAUAUUUUUGUUACUCUUGCUGUGGCAGCCAAACCAAC